RNAcentral lists this ribosomal RNA (703 nucleotides) under Escherichia coli. RNAcentral describes it as "bacterial SSU rRNA". It matches the Rfam family "Bacterial small subunit ribosomal RNA", at positions 20 to 712 of the family's 1533-position model. Lineage: Bacteria; Pseudomonadati; Pseudomonadota; Gammaproteobacteria; Enterobacterales; Enterobacteriaceae. The record is from RNAcentral.
CUGCUCAGAUUGAACGCUGGCGGCAGGCCUAACACAUGCAAGUCGAACGGUAACAGGAAGCAGCUUGCUGUUUCGCUGACGAGUGGCGGACGGGUGAGUAAUGUCUGGGAAACUGCCUGAUGGAGGGGGAUAACUACUGGAAACGGUAGCUAAUACCGCAUAACGUCGCAAGACCAAAGAGGGGGACCUUCGGGCCUCUUGCCAUCGGAUGUGCCCAGAUGGGAUUAGCUUGUUGGUGGGGUAACGGCUCACCAAGGCGACGAUCCCUAGCUGGUCUGAGAGGAUGACCAGCCACACUGGAACUGAGACACGGUCCAGACUCCUACGGGAGGCAGCAGUGGGGAAUAUUGCACAAUGGGCGCAAGCCUGAUGCAGCCAUGCCGCGUGUAUGAAGAAGGCCUUCGGGUUGUAAAGUACUUUCAGCGGGGAGGAAGGGAGUAAAGUUAAUACCUUUGCUCAUUGACGUUACCCGCAGAAGAAGCACCGGCUAACUCCGUGCCAGCAGCCGCGGUAAUACGGAGGGUGCAAGCGUUAAUCGGAAUUACUGGGCGUAAAGCGCACGCAGGCGGUUUGUUAAGUCAGAUGUGAAAUCCCCGGGCUCAACCUGGGAACUGCAUCUGAUACUGGCAAGCUUGAGUCUCGUAGAGGGGGGUAGAAUUCCAGGUGUAGCGGUGAAAUGCGUAGAGAUCUGGAGGAAUACCGG